GAGCAAUGAUGAAAAAGGCUUUAUAGUACUGAACUUUGUUUCUAUGAAGGUUUCUACACUUGACCUGAGCUCA
Small nucleolar RNA from Cricetulus griseus (Chinese hamster), 73 nucleotides. Ensembl annotates it as small nucleolar RNA U2-30. Its record names the gene Scarna9. The record is from Ensembl. NCBI's taxonomy places the organism in Eukaryota, Metazoa, Chordata, Mammalia, Rodentia, Cricetidae.